This 71-nucleotide transfer RNA is filed under the name Nassarius glans. RNAcentral's name for it is "tRNA-Leu". It matches the Rfam family "tRNA". From Rfam's summary of the family: Transfer RNA (tRNA) molecules are approximately 80 nucleotides in length. Their secondary structure includes four short double-helical elements and three loops (D, anti-codon, and T loops). The record is from RNAcentral. Lineage: Eukaryota; Metazoa; Mollusca; Gastropoda; Neogastropoda; Nassariidae.
AUCAAAUUAGCAAAAAUUUAAUGCAAUUGACUUAGGAUCAAUGGAUAUAGGUGAAAUUCCUUUAUUUGAUA